UCGCAGCUAUAAUGCAAGUCGAGCGAACAGAUGAGAAGCUUGCUUCUCUGAUGUUAGCGGCGGACGGGUGAGUAACACGUGGGUAACCUACCUAUAAGACUGGGAUAACUCCGGGAAACCGGGGCUAAUACCGGAUAAUAUAUUGAACCGCAUGGUUCAAUGUUGAAAGACGGUUUCGGCUGUCACUUAUAGAUGGACCCGCGCCGUAUUAGCUAGUUGGUAAGGUAACGGCUUACCAAGGCAACGAUACGUAGCCGACCUGAGAGGGUGAUCGGCCACACUGGAACUGAGACACGGUCCAGACUCCUACGGGAGGCAGCAGUAGGGAAUCUUCCGCAAUGGGCGAAAGCCUGACGGAGCAACGCCGCGUGAGUGAUGAAGGUCUUAGGAUCGUAAAACUCUGUUGUUAGGGAAGAACAAAUUUGUUAGUAACUGAACAAGUCUUGACGGUACCUAACCAGAAAGCCACGGCUAACUACGUGCCAGCAGCCGCGGUAAUACGUAGGUGGCAAGCGUUAUCCGGAAUUAUUGGGCGUAAAGCGCGCGUAGGCGGUUUCUUAAGUCUGAUGUGAAAGCCCACGGCUCAACCGUGGAGGGUCAUUGGAAACUGGGGAACUUGAGUGCAGAAGAGGAGAGUGGAAUUCCAUGUGUAGCGGUGAAAUGCGCAGAGAUAUGGAGGAACACCAGUGGCGAAGGCGGCUCUCUGGUCUGUAACUGACGCUGAUGUGCGAAAGCGUGGGGAUCAAACAGGAUUAGAUACCCUGGUAGUCCACGCCGUAAACGAUGAGUGCUAAGUGUUAGGGGGUUUCCGCCCCUUAGUGCUGCAGCUAACGCAUUAAGCACCUCCCGCCC
This 852-nucleotide ribosomal RNA is filed under the name Mammaliicoccus lentus. Its description in RNAcentral is "bacterial SSU rRNA". It matches the Rfam family "Bacterial small subunit ribosomal RNA", at positions 44 to 873 of the family's 1533-position model. The record is from RNAcentral. Lineage: Bacteria; Bacillati; Bacillota; Bacilli; Caryophanales; Staphylococcaceae.